Molecule: ribosomal RNA, 468 nt
Filed under: uncultured bacterium
Lineage: Bacteria
Description: partial 16S ribosomal RNA
Rfam family: Bacterial small subunit ribosomal RNA
Source: RNAcentral
GACGAACGCUGGCGGCGUGCUUAACACAUGCAAGUCGAACGAAAGGGCCCUGCUUUUGUGGGGUGCUCGAGUGGCGAACGGGUGAGUAACACGUGAGUAACCUGCCCUUGACUUUGGGAUAACUUCGGGAAACUGGGGCUAAUACCGGAUAGGAGCUCCUGCUGCAUGGUGGGGGUUGGAAAGUUUCGGCGGUUGGGGAUGGACUCGCGGCUUAUCAGCUUGUUGGUGGGGUAGUGGCUUACCAAGGCUUUGACGGGUAGCCGGCCUGAGAGGGUGACCGGCCACAUUGGGACUGAGAUACGGCCCAGACUCCUACGGGAGGCAGCAGUGGGGAAUAUUGCACAAUGGGCGGAAGCCUGAUGCAGCAACGCCGCGUGCGGGAUGACGGCCUUCGGGUUGUAAACCGCUUUCGCCUGUGACGAAGCGUGAGUGACGGUAAUGGGUAAAGAAGCACCGGCUAACUACGUG